GAUUUAUUAACUAUCCUAAGUAUAUAUUUUGAAAAUAUAAAAAAGAGUAAUUUACUCUAUAAAUCU
RNAcentral lists this transfer RNA (66 nucleotides) under Amblyomma javanense. RNAcentral describes it as "tRNA-Ser". The record is from RNAcentral. Lineage: Eukaryota; Metazoa; Arthropoda; Arachnida; Ixodida; Ixodidae.